GAUGAACGCUGGCGGCGUGCUUAACACAUGCAAGUCGAACGAAGCACUUUAACCUGAUUCUUCGGAUGAAGGUUUUUGUGACUGAGUGGCGGACGGGUGAGUAACGCGUGGGUAACCUGCCUCAUACAGGGGGAUAACAGUUAGAAAUGACUGCUAAUACCGCAUAAGACCACAGAGCCGCAUGGCUCGGUGGGAAAAACUCCGGUGGUAUGAGAUGGACCCGCGUCUGAUUAGGUAGUUGGUGGGGUAACGGCCUACCAAGCCAACGAUCAGUAUCCGACCUGGGAGGGUGACCGGCCACAUUGGGACUGAGACACGGCCCAAACUCCUACGGGAAGCAGCAGUGGGGAAUAUUGCACAAUGGGGGAAAACCUGAUGCAGCGACGCCGCGUGAGCGAAGAAGUAUUUUGGAAUGUAAAGCUCUAUCAGCAGGGAAGAAAAUGACGGUACCUGACUAAGAAGCACCGGCUAAAUACGUG
Molecule: ribosomal RNA, 479 nt
Filed under: uncultured bacterium
Lineage: Bacteria
Description: partial 16S ribosomal RNA
Rfam family: Bacterial small subunit ribosomal RNA
Source: RNAcentral